CCCCCCCCGGGGCACGUGAGAGCGGGCGGCCCGCCCGAAAUAGCCCCGGGACAGGGUGGCCCGAGGGGCCCCCGGAGGGGAAGGGGGCGGCUGGGAGAGGCCCCCUACGAGGGGGGGUGUUGGGGGACACACACACACACACACAGGGGGAAUAGGGGGGCACCCGGGGAAAAAUGGGGCAUGGGGACAUGGUGGGGGACACCCGGCGAGGGGACACUGUGGGCAUGGGGACACGUGGGGACACAGCGGGCACGGGUGUGUGUGGGGGCACGUAUGGCACAGGGGUGCAAGGGGGCACCCAGAGCAUGGGGACACACAGGGCAUGGGGACACACAGGGCAUGGGGACACACAGGGAUGAACCAGGCAGGGGGACACGUGGGGGGCUUGGGGACACAGAGGGCACGGGGACACGUGGGACAUAGAGAUACAUGGGGGACACGCUGGGCCUGGUCACACAUGGGGAGAUGUGCGGUACAGGGGACACAGAGGGCACGGGGACACGUGGGGACACACCGGGCACGGGCGUGUGUGGGGACACGUAGGGCACAGGGGUGCAAGGGGGCACCCAGAGCAUGGGGACACACAGGGCUUGGGGACACCCAGAGCAUGGGGACAAACAGGGAUGAACCGGGCAGGGGGACACGUGGGGGGCUUGGGGACACAGAGGGCAUGGGGACAUGUGGGACAACAUGGGGAGACAAGGGACAUGGAGGUACAUGGGGGACACGCUGGGCCUGGUCAUACAUGGGGACAUGUGGGGUACAGGGGUGCAGGAGGGCACCCAGGGCAUGGGAUCAAACGGGGACACACAGGGCACAGGGACACACAGGGCAUGGGGACACAAGGGGGACAUGCUGGGUCUGGUCAUACAUGGGGACAUGGGGGGUACAGGGGGGCACCCAGGGCACGGGAUCAAACGGGGACACACGGGUCAUGGGGACACACAGGACAUGGAGAUGCACGGGACACACACACACACACACUGGGCCUGGUCAUGCUUGGGGACAUGUGGGGUACAGGGGUGCAGGAGGGCACCCAGGGCAUGGGAUCAAACGGGGACACACAGGGCACAGGGACACACAGGGCAUGGGGACACAAGGGGGACAUGCUGGGUCUGGUCAUACAUGGGGACAUGGGGGGUACAGGGGGGCACCCAGGGCACGGGAUCAAACGGGGACACACGGGUCAUGGGGACACACAGGACAUGGAGAUGCACGGGACACACACACACACACACUGGGCCUGGUCAUGCUUGGGGACAUGUGGGGUACAGGGGUGCAGGAGGGCACCCAGGGCACGGGAUCAAACAGGGACACAUGUGGGGACACUUGGGGACACACAAGACGUUGGGAUGCGCAGGGCACGGGGACACGUGGGGCAGAGACACAUACACGGCCAUGCAGGGGGGCACGGGGACACAGGGGGCAUUAGUAUGUACAUGGCAUGGGGACACAUGGGGACAUGAGUGACACGGGGGACAGAGGGGGCUGCAGUGGGGCACGGGGACACACGGGGCAUUAGUAUGUACAUGGCA
Molecule: long non-coding RNA, 1535 nt
Filed under: Calidris pugnax (ruff)
Lineage: Eukaryota; Metazoa; Chordata; Aves; Charadriiformes; Scolopacidae
Description: lncRNA (ENSCPUG00000005357.1)
Source: RNAcentral